GCUGGUUCAAACACAGCUUCCUUGUAUAGUGAUUGAAAAUGAUUUAAAGGAAAAGAUUAUUUACUGAUUUUACUGUAUUAAGCUUUGGGGAUGGAUAAGUGACUGCUCACUUGUUUUUGGUAUGUGAUCCCACCAGAUGAGCAGGCUCUUAAUCACUUCUUUACUCAACUUGAAGACCUGAACAUGUUUUGACACACAGCUCUGCUGCUUGCUGCUGGCUUUGCUGUUUCUGUAACUGUUUUGUAGGUGCCUGCUUGAAUGCUGCUUGAUCGAUGGCAAGUCAUUUUAACAUGCACACAAACCGCAUCCGUAUCCAAACAAUACCCCAGUGAAGGCACAAGAGGAGAGAAGUGCUCAAGUAAUCCUUGAAACAAAAGACUUCAAAGUGACAGCAGCCUGUGCCUCUGGCCAUUGUAAACCUUCAUACCAGGAGGUGCCUGAACGCCACAAGAAACUUCUGUCGCCUAAUGCAGAUCACAGUCUUGCCAAGAUAAUGGCAGAGCUAGAACAAAUACUGCCGGAGGAUAAGUUGCUAGUACAUCGGACACAGGGACAAAAGAGAUC
This 564-nucleotide long non-coding RNA is filed under the name Struthio camelus australis. RNAcentral describes it as "lncRNA (ENSSCUG00000007727.1)". The record is from RNAcentral. Lineage: Eukaryota; Metazoa; Chordata; Aves; Struthioniformes; Struthionidae.